Molecule: long non-coding RNA, 225 nt
Filed under: Lathyrus oleraceus (garden pea)
Lineage: Eukaryota; Viridiplantae; Streptophyta; Magnoliopsida; Fabales; Fabaceae
Description: Pisum sativum (pea) long non-coding RNA (PSAT_LNC017517)
Source: RNAcentral
UUGACAAGACCUUCGGACUUGUGCCUACGUACCAACAUAAAAAUGAGGGAUCAAAACCUCGUAGUUCGUGAUACAAAUUUCAAAGUGGAUGCAUUGUUUUUAACAAAAAUUAAGUUUGAAAGGCACAGAGGCCUAAAAAUGGUUUGAAUGAGUUAGUUCUUUUUGGCUUUUUGAAAGUUUAAGUCAAGUAUAAUUAAGUCUAUUUACAAGUUUGAUUAAGAAAAG